RNAcentral lists this unclassified non-coding RNA (275 nucleotides) under Hevea brasiliensis (rubber tree). Lineage: Eukaryota; Viridiplantae; Streptophyta; Magnoliopsida; Malpighiales; Euphorbiaceae. The record is from RNAcentral.
UGUGGAUGAAAAUGACCAGGGCCAGGCAAGUACUUCAACUAGCAAGUGGUGGAGUGUCUUCAUUACUAGUUAGGUAUGUAUGCAAAUAAUGGUCGAGAUAGUUUGAGAUAAAUGGGGAGCUGUUGCAGUUGUUGAGAUGGCAUAAGAAUAUGGUUUGUACUUUGUUGCUGUAGCAUCUAUAUUCUAUGUAAAAGACAAUUUUAAAUGCUAGUAGAGUUCUGCUUGAAUGAAUAACAUACGCACAACUGAACUUAAGCUGAGCCUUUCUCGUAUUG